GGACAAACGAGAGGACCAGACAGCUGGAACUGUAACUUCAAUACGCACUGGCACUUGUGUUUUUAAGCCUGCUGAGGGAAUUAACGUUCAACAGCUGUGCGUAUUCACACUGCUGAAUGCGUAUUACACAAUAUUCUCAGACAUUCUCCUACGCAGAGCAGCAGUAUUGGCCCAUCGGGUGACUCACGAGGUUUCAACACAAGCCGCCAGAGAAAGGGAGCUAUCAAGAUUUUGGUGAUGAGAGAAACUGUAGCACAUGGUGAAAGAUGUUGCAGGUCUACGGAUCUCAGCGCAAUUUGUUCAGUAUAUGGAACAAUGCAAUGAGUAUUCCAACCCUGAGCAGCUGGGAAAGGAGGACGUGAAAACUGAGGAGGGAGCCAGGUAAGUUCACACUUGAAUAAUAGAUUCUCUUGGUAAUAAAACCACAGAGAGAGCCAGUGCUUGCCCAGGUCUAGAGCUAUUAAGAACUCCAUUGAAACUCCACCGGCUUAGAGUUCCUUCUAUGCCAAACUCGCGCACACCUCUUCUGAGAGCAAGGCCCUCCUUUUCUGUUAGCUGAGUCAGGGCUACCAACGUGGGCAUGUGCACACAAAUCUAUUGGGGUACCAAAAAGAGAGAAUUGUCUUUAAUAAUUAUUUGUCUUCAUCUUCCUAACUUUCUAUUCUUGAACAGGUUCUAGGAUGUACAUUAUAUAUUAGUACAGCAGUGAUGAGUUUUCAUUUUGACAGAAAGUGCUAAAAAAAAAUUCAUACU
RNAcentral lists this long non-coding RNA (753 nucleotides) under Callithrix jacchus (white-tufted-ear marmoset). RNAcentral's name for it is "lncRNA (ENSCJAG00000073334.1)". Lineage: Eukaryota; Metazoa; Chordata; Mammalia; Primates; Cebidae. The record is from RNAcentral.